CCUACGGGAGGCAGCAGUAGGGAAUAUUGCUCAAUGGGGGAAACCCUGAAGCAGCAACGCCGCGUGUAGGAUGAAGGUUUUCGGGUUGUAAACUCCUUUUGUUAGAGAGGAUAAUGACGAUAUCUAACGAUUAAGCACCGGCUAACUCCUUGCCAGCAGCCGCGGUAAUACGGAGGGUGCAAGCGUUCCUCGGAAUCACUGGGCGUAAAGAGCGCGUAGGCGGGAUAGCAAGUCAGAUGUGAAAUCCUAUGGCUUAACCAUAGAACUGCAUUUGAAACUGUUAUUCUAGAGUAUGGGAGAGGUAGGUGGAAUUCUUGGUGUAGGGGUAAAAUCCGUAGAGAUCAAGAGGAAUACUCAUGGCGAAGGCGACCUGCUAGAACAUAACUGACGCUGAUGUGCGAAAGCGUGGGGAGCAAACAGGAGUAGAUACCCUGGUAGUC
Molecule: ribosomal RNA, 440 nt
Filed under: uncultured bacterium
Lineage: Bacteria
Description: partial 16S ribosomal RNA
Rfam family: Bacterial small subunit ribosomal RNA
Source: RNAcentral